AAUUAAAUUAAUGAUUUGAAAGUUUCUUUCUUCGAAAAAGAAACUUUAAAAUUAUAGAAAAUAUAACUAAUAUUCAAGAUAAAAGAAUCCUUUUAUAUCCGUUUUGCUUUCAAGCAAUUAUUUUUAAUUAAUUUACGAUUUUCAGAUAAUUUUUAAAAAAUUUAAAAAAAAUUCAAAAUAAAAUUCAAUACCCAUAGAUUCUAUGUAUAUACAAAUGUAAGAAAAGUGCCCAACUAUGUAACCACACCACGACUCGUGGUCGAUGAUAUCGUGCAAAAUAUUCGAAUAUAUUCAUUAUUAUUUGCUUCGUUAUUUUUUUUUAUAAUAUUAAGCUUAUAAUUUUUUAUAUAUUGCUUUUCUAUUCACGUGUUCCCGCAACCUAUACGAUUUCACGAUUAAUCUGACGUUUUUCUACGGUCCAUGCGAAAAUUUUUUUCUUUCAAAGUUUACUCUUCAAUUAUUUUUUCUAGAUUUUUAUUCGUAAUCUCUCGCCUGGAUCGUAUAAAAGCAUGUCAUCCAAUGGAAUAAUGAUUUGGACUUGGCCUACCUGGAAGCACAGGAGUUAGUAUUUGUAGAUCCCGCUACCAAACAGCAAUCGACACUGCACCAUUGUAACACGAUAUAUACAAUUAUACUUUUAAUAAUAAGUGAAUUUUUAUUAAAUCGAGACAUUGCAUAAAUGAGAAAGUUCACAAGGAAGUUUCUUAUUCUGAACAGAAGUUAAAAAUAAUCGGAAUAUGUUACAAAAAAGAUUGAAGGAAGAUUUAAAAAAUGAAAAAAAAAAAAAGAAAAAAAAUUAAGAAAUGAAAAUAAAUCCGAAUUAAAAAUUAAAAGGCAAGUUUUUAAAUUAGAUCACAUUACAUUAAAUUAAAUUAGAAUAUUAAAUUUCAUCAUAGAUCUUUAUCUUAACGUUAUAUUAACAUCGAUAGAAAAAUUAUAAUAUAUUAUAAGUUGUAAUCUUUUUAAAUUUUUUGGAAAUAAGUACAAAAGACAAAUCGAUCUAAUAUUAAAGGAAGAUAAAAGAUGAACAAAAAAGGCGAGAGAGCGGAAGAAACGGCAAUGACGUAACAGAAAAAGAGAGAUAAAUCAAAAGAUUAAAAGAAAGAAAGAAUUUAUAUGUGAACCAAAAAAAACAAAUAAAAAAUAAAGAGGAAAGAGAGAGAGAGAGAGAGAGAGAGAGAGGGAGAGAGAGGGAGAUAAAAGUUACGACACAGAAUCUCCAACUUGAUCUGUAGACACCAAAGAUACCUGCGAGCCCAGUGAAAAAAAAUGUAUAGAACCUAACAGGGUAACAGUGGUCGCAAUUUUCACAGACUACCAUAAGGAUAAAAAAAAAAUCAUCACAAUACUGUCUUACAGAAAUGCAAUCUUGGUUCCAUCCUUGAAUACUUGUAAAAUUCAUUCGAUCUAUUAGAGUAUUAUUAUUAUUUAUCUCUUAUAUUAAAAGAGAAAUUUUUUUAUUAGAUUAAAAAAUAAAAAAAUUACGAUUAAAUAAUUAAAUAUUAAAAUGUCUACGAAAAUUACCACCACCAGGCAAGGUAAUAUAAUCAGGGUAAGAGUCCACCAACCCGGCAAGCAAAAAGAUAUGUAUGUCCACAAGGCACAUUUAUUAAACAUGAUCGAUUAAUCAUCGAUAUAAUCUUCGUUAUACAGAAAAAAGUGUGUAUACAAGGAAUAAAAAAAAGAUAUAAUCCUGUUUCGUAUAUAUGUGCCUGUUGUGCGUAUAUCUUGUAUUUUUUUUUUUUUUUUGUCUGUUUCUGUGUAUAUGCAUAUUAUGUAUGUUGUGUACCCUAUAUCCCAGUAUAAAUAAAACGCAAUCGGAAAAAAAAACAAUUUUUCAUAACUGGGAUGGGAUUUGAGGAAAAAAAAAAAAAAA
RNAcentral lists this long non-coding RNA (1876 nucleotides) under Apis mellifera (honey bee). RNAcentral's name for it is "uncharacterized LOC102655878, transcript variant X2". The record is from RNAcentral. Lineage: Eukaryota; Metazoa; Arthropoda; Insecta; Hymenoptera; Apidae.